RNAcentral lists this long non-coding RNA (666 nucleotides) under Parus major (Great Tit). Its description in RNAcentral is "lncRNA (ENSPMJG00000012750.1)". Lineage: Eukaryota; Metazoa; Chordata; Aves; Passeriformes; Paridae. The record is from RNAcentral.
AAUUGCCAUAUCCCCAGCUGAUAGUUAGGCUGCCCAGGAUCCCAGUGUUAUAAACUCCCUAUUUUCUCUGGCCUCUUUCACAGAUGCAUCUUCAUAUACAGUGACAAUUGCAUCAGUGCCAUUACCUUUGGCUAGAAAAGCCUGAAAAGUGAAAUCAUUGGUAGCCAAAGGCAACAUAAUCAGCUGUCUUCGUUACUUAUAGAAUACAUGGGGUUUGUGUGUAGAGAAAUUGCGGAGGUGCAAAGGGCUGACUAAUGAAAGUGCAGAAGAGACUUGCACACAAGGCAUUUGCCUCAGGAUGAGGAAGUAUGGCAUUAUCUGAAUCACACUGCACUCAGAAAUCAUCCCUCCCUGCUAUUUGGUGUCCUUCAAGAAACGAAUCCCACCCACAAGGUAUUUAAUGGACUCUUGUAAGGGGCUUCAUUAACUGAGGCUUCAAGACAUCCAAAAUGCUUUGUGCAGGCCCAGGGCUACUCAGGGAUCUCUGGAACUGCAUGUUUGCAUGGGACUGCUCCAGACUGCCUGGAUUCCACACACCCCUGCAAUAUAAACAUUAGUUAAACAGAAUAAUGGAUUACUAAUUGUCACUGAGGCCACCAUACAUAUUGAUCUGGAAUCCACCUACAUUUAAGGACAGCGCAAGAAAACACUGGAAUUUUUUUGGUC